CUGCAGGGUCAAGCAGGCUAUUAACAGAACAGGAGAUAAUACAGUCUAAAUUAAAAAGAAUUUGCAAUAAAAGAAGUGUAAACAUUAGAUGACUCUUUACAGGAAGUGUUUAGGAAGGCUGUGCAGGUCACAUGUCUAGGGUUGCAUAAACAAUGUGAUUUAACUCAAUUAAGCAGUGAGUUUACAGGGGCAUGAUCUAUACACCAGAAUGGCUUCAUUAAGCUAAAGGUUUUUUUUUGUUUUUCUUUUUUAGUGACUUUACUAGUACCUUUUAAUUUACUUUUUAUAUUCACUGUAAUGCACGGUUUAAUGAAUAUGCCAUUUUGAAUAUCAAGGGUGUAAACAUAUUCUGAUUUGUCAUUCUGAUGGUUGAAUAAGCUUGAUUAUGGGAAUAACACCCACUAUCCAAAUUCUUAUGCACGGUAAGAUUGAAUUACUAAAUAUUAAAGUGUAGUGAAUUUAAAUCCAAAUUUCAAAAUCUAGUCCUAAAUAACUG
Non-coding RNA from Pelobates cultripes (western spadefoot toad), 496 nucleotides. The record is from the annotation of a GenBank genome assembly. NCBI's taxonomy places the organism in Eukaryota, Metazoa, Chordata, Amphibia, Anura, Pelobatidae.